GACGAACGCUGGCGGCGUGCUUAACACAUGCAAGUCGAACGAUGAAGCUGGAGCUUGCUCCGGUGGAUUAGUGGCGAACGGGUGAGUAACACGUGAGCAAUCUGCCCUUGACUCUGGGAUAACCGCGGGAAACUGUAGCUAAUACCGGCUACGAGGCGCGAAGGCAUCUUCGGGUCUGGAAAGAAUUUCGGUGAAGGUGGAGCUCGCGGCCUAGCAGCUUGUUGGUGAGGUAAUGGCUCACCAAGGCGACGACGGGUAGCCGGCCUGAGAGGGUGACCGGCCACACUGGGACUGAGACACGGCCCAGACUCCUACGGGAGGCAGCAGUGGGGAAUAUUGCACAAUGGGCGAAAGCCUGAUGCAGCAACGCCGCGUGAGGGAUGAAGGCCUUCGGGUUGUAAACCUCUUUUAGCAGGGAAGAAGCGAAAGUGACGGUACCUACAGAAAAAGCACCGGCUAGCUACGUGCCAGCCGCCGCCGUAA
This 483-nucleotide ribosomal RNA is filed under the name uncultured bacterium. RNAcentral describes it as "partial 16S ribosomal RNA". It matches the Rfam family "Bacterial small subunit ribosomal RNA", at positions 28 to 523 of the family's 1533-position model. The record is from RNAcentral.